Molecule: ribosomal RNA, 216 nt
Filed under: Glomeromycotina sp.
Lineage: Eukaryota; Fungi; Glomeromycota
Description: partial small subunit ribosomal RNA
Rfam family: Eukaryotic small subunit ribosomal RNA (bases 44-216)
Source: RNAcentral
GGCUCAGUAGGUUGGUCGUGCCACCGGUACGUACUGGUCAAACUGAUUCCUCCUUCCUGAAGAACCGUAAUGCCAUUAAUUUGGUGUUGCGGGGAAACAGGACUGUUACUUUGAAAAAAUUAGAGUGUUUAAAGCAAGCUAACGCUUGAAUACAUUAGCAUGGAAUAAUGAAAUAGGACGUUCGAUCCUAUUUUGUUGGUUUCUAGGAUUGACGUA